GACGAACGCUGGCGGCGUGCUUAACACAUGCAAGUCGAACGGAAAGGCCCUGCUUGCAGGGUACUCGAGUGGCGAACGGGUGAGUAACACGUGGGUGAUCUGCCCUGCACUUCGGGAUAAGCCUGGGAAACUGGGUCUAAUACCGGAUAGGAGCCAUUUUUAGUGUGAUGGUUGGAAAGUUUUUUCGGUGUAGGAUGAGCUCGCGGCCUAUCAGCUUGUUGGUGGGGUAAUGGCCUACCAAGGCGGCGACGGGUAGCCGGCCUGAGAGGGUGGACGGCCACAUUGGGACUGAGAUACGGCCCAGACUCCUACGGGAGGCAGCAGUGGGGAAUAUUGCACAAUGGGCGCAAGCCUGAUGCAGCGACGCCGCGUGGGGGAUGACGGCCUUCGGGUUGUAAACUCCUUUCGCUAGGGACGAAGCUUUUUGUGACGGUACCUAGAUAAGAAGCACUGGCUAACUACGUG
Molecule: ribosomal RNA, 465 nt
Filed under: uncultured bacterium
Lineage: Bacteria
Description: partial 16S ribosomal RNA
Rfam family: Bacterial small subunit ribosomal RNA
Source: RNAcentral